CAGUCGCCGCGGUAAUACGGAGGGUGCAAGCGUUAUCCGGAUUUAUUGGGUUUAAAGGGUCCGUAGGCGGACUUAUAAGUCAGUGGUGAAAGCCUGUCGCUUAACGAUAGAACUGCCAUUGAUACUGUAAGUCUUGAGUAUAUUUGAGGUAGCUGGAAUAAGUAGUGUAGCGGUGAAAUGCAUAGAUAUUACUUAGAACACCAAUUGCGAAGGCAGGUUACCAAGAUAUAACUGACGCUGAGGGACGAAAGCGUGGGUAGCGAACAGGAUUAGAUACCCCCGUAGUCCCUGUCUCUUUACA
This 301-nucleotide ribosomal RNA is filed under the name uncultured bacterium. RNAcentral's name for it is "partial 16S ribosomal RNA". It matches the Rfam family "Bacterial small subunit ribosomal RNA", at positions 509 to 808 of the family's 1533-position model. The record is from RNAcentral.